GGGCACGGACCCGUGUGU
RNAcentral lists this unclassified non-coding RNA (18 nucleotides) under Chlamydomonas reinhardtii. Its description in RNAcentral is "small RNA Cre_1894". Lineage: Eukaryota; Viridiplantae; Chlorophyta; Chlorophyceae; Chlamydomonadales; Chlamydomonadaceae. The record is from RNAcentral.